Molecule: transfer RNA, 65 nt
Filed under: unidentified
Description: Trichagalma acutissimae tRNA-Arg
Source: RNAcentral
GAAUAAAACUAAAAUUUAGUAUUUAAUUUCGACUUAAAUUUAUAAUUAUUUAAAUAAUUUAUUCA